RNAcentral lists this ribosomal RNA (402 nucleotides) under Triticum aestivum (bread wheat). RNAcentral describes it as "partial small subunit ribosomal RNA". Lineage: Eukaryota; Viridiplantae; Streptophyta; Magnoliopsida; Poales; Poaceae. The record is from RNAcentral.
AUGAGAGGAGAGGCGCUCGGGCCAAGCGCGGGUGCGAGGGCUGCUGCGGGAGCCGCUCAGGAUCGAGAGGGAGAGAGUGAGAUGGGGAUCGAGAAGCAGCACUGCUCUCUCCCUGGUGCGAAGCGUGAGGCGGCGGGAUGGAGGAAACGAGAGAGAGAAAGGGAUCGAGCAGGGGAUGAGGCUAGGGUUCGGGAGGGAGUGGGCCUUGGGCCUAAGUGGCCUGCGGCUACAGGAGGCCCAAGAGGCAAGGCUGGGCUCCCUCUCUUAACCUCUCUUCUCAAAAGAAAAAAAAGAAAAAAGAAAAAACAGUACAUAGAUAAGAAAGAAAAGAAAGGGAGGUUAGGGGAAGGAGUUGGGCACGCGGACAAUUUUUCCGGAGCCACAAGAAUACGAGGAAUUUGA